This 72-nucleotide transfer RNA is filed under the name Capsicum annuum. It matches the Rfam family "tRNA". From Rfam's summary of the family: Transfer RNA (tRNA) molecules are approximately 80 nucleotides in length. Lineage: Eukaryota; Viridiplantae; Streptophyta; Magnoliopsida; Solanales; Solanaceae. The record is from Rfam by way of RNAcentral.
GGGUCCUUCGCUUAGUGGUAGAGCAUUUAACUGCAGAUUAAGAGGUCACCAGUUCAACCCUGGUAGGGCCUU